RNAcentral lists this long non-coding RNA (445 nucleotides) under Piliocolobus tephrosceles (Ugandan red Colobus). Its description in RNAcentral is "lncRNA (ENSPTEG00000035148.1)". The record is from RNAcentral. Lineage: Eukaryota; Metazoa; Chordata; Mammalia; Primates; Cercopithecidae.
UUGGGGUGUUCUGCUCUGGCGGCAGCGGCGGCGGGACGCGGAGGCUCCCACGGGAUUCGGCCUCAGUAGCGAGGCGGCGGCGGCAGCGGCGGCUGCGGAGGCACAGGCAGCAGCUGAGGCAGCGGCGGGCUCAGGUGCAGCCGCUGAGUGAAGACAUAGUCCAGAGAGGGAAGUGUAAAGCUACAGGCUGAACAUAACUUCUUUUUUUCAAAGUUCCCUGUGUUGUGAACUGAGCUUGGGUGAAGUGAAAUCUUUGAGGUAAGGCAACUAUAAUGAUAAAAAUGGAAAGAAAGCCUGUGAAAUUUGGGAGCCUUCAGAGAUAACAUUUUAGAGUCACUGCCUAAAUAUUGAAAUGCCACCAUUUGUUGUUUGGGGGGAUGUGGAGCUAAAUUGAGAACGGGAGCACACAUCUGCCUUGACUGCUAAGUAUAUCCAUCUCUACUGC